CGCGCGCAGAGGGGCGCGCAAAGGGCGCGCAGCGCUCCCGCCGCCAUCGUCCCCCCGCCAGGUGCGCGGCGUCCGCGGGCCCGCGUUCAAAACAACCGAAGCGUCGGGGAGGACGCGGGCAGGGAUACCCCCGGGGCUGCCCCGCACCCCCGCGGCGCGGCUCGCAAGUCGGCGACGGGCAACGCGGCGCGGGCCGGCUCUCGGGGUCCCUCUAGCGACACGCGUGGGGACGGCGGGCGGGCGGGCGGGCGGCGGAGCCGGCGCGGCUCGGAUCGGCUCGGCAUGGCACGGCACCGGCAUCGCGGCACCGGCACCGCGCGGCGCUGCCCGGUUCGGCACGGCGCUGCCCGGCGCGGCUCGGCACGGCUCGGCGCGGCGCUUACCUUGGCGCUGGCGCUGCCGCUGCCGCUCUCAACUUCUGUCGGCGGCGGGCCGGGGAGGAAGGCAGGCUGCCGGCAGCGCUCAUCCGUGUGUGCCCCGGCGCUUGCCAUGCUGCUGUCCGGCCCUGGCAGCGAUCGCGGCUCUGGCUCGCCUUCCCCGCGCCCUGGCUCGCUCUCCUCGCUUUGCCUUUUGGUAUGUCAAGUCCCUGCUUGAUUUGGUCUGGAGGAUGUUAUUUUGUUACGAUCAGGUAUUUUGUUAUUCUAGAGAGCAGGCGAGCGCUUCCCUUUUCUUUCUUUCUCCUUUUCUUUCUCCUUUUCUUUCUUGUUUUUCCCUCCUUUUUUUUUUCUUUUUCUUUUUUUUUCUCUCUCUCUCUCUUUUUUUUUUUUUCCUCCUGGUUUUACCCCCUUUUCCUUUUUUUCCUCCUCUUUCUCUCCUCCUGCCUUGACUGCCCCUUGGGUGGCUCUCACUUUUUGGUUGUUGUGGUGUUUACUGACUGCGUCCCCUGGCUGGGGCUGAGGGGCCGGCUGCCUGCUGCCCGCUGCUCCCGGCUGGCUGCCCCACGAGCGAGGAGACGGGCAAGGCGCUUUAGCUGCCCCCCUUUUAUACCCCCCCAAUGGGCAUGCUCUGACUUCCCCAGCGAGCACCAGCCCGGCCACGCAGCCAAUAAUGUUGCAGAGCGAUCCCUCCCUCUUUCUCCCUCCCUUCUUCGUAACCCUGCGAAGUCCAGCUCGGGGAGCGACGGGAAGUUUCAAGCCGCAGGCUUUCCCCGCCCGGGAGGGGGCUGCAGUCCACCCCUGCCGGCCGCUGGGUGGGCUGGGGGCCGCGCAUCCUCCGCCUCCCCCCGCAGGUGAGGGCGGACGGCUGGGGGUUGCGUCCCCAACCCCUGCCCGAGGUGCUGGGCCGCCUCUCCCUGCCCUCCAGGGAACCGAAACCACUGUGGGAUGAUCGGAAGCAGCGGGAUGUGGCCGUGCCAGCCCUGCUUUUGGGUCCCGCUCUGACUGCGCUCAGGGCACAGGUGGCUGUGCCAUCCGUCCUGCUCUGUGCCGGCCCCGCAACAUCUGCAUGGCAGUUGCGGGCACGCAGGGGUGCUGGAGCACGGCCCCCCAGGUUCACACCGGGGCUCUGCCCUGCGUUACACACCACUGUGUUGGCAGAUGCAAGCCCCGCUUUGCCUGCACACGUCUAGGGACAGCACGGAUGCCCGUGCUGCACGGGGACGUUUGGAUUUGGCACCCCAUGGUACCUCCUGACAGCAGUGUCUGCUCUCUGGGCUGCCCCUGCACCAUGCCAACUUGUGCAAGCAAUUGCUUUUAAGCCAAAAGGACUUUUCCCAGGCUUUGCCAUGAAGCAGCGUGUGCUCUGAAUUCGCCCCCACUGCAAUCGCCACUCCACCACCGGAGCUGCAUGAUGAUCACACCGGACUGCAUUGUGCACAGCUCACCUCCCAUAAACCUGCCCCGCUGGGUAGUGGCUGCCCCAGGGGUGGGCUGCAAGGACCCCACUUGCUUUCCACCAGCGGCAAAGGCAAAGUCCCGGAACACUCACAUCCCAGGCACCGCAUGGGUGGCUGUCAGCUCGCGGGGAUGCGCAGCUCAAGUUGCAGUGCAAAGCAUGCACCCACCCACAGCAGGCAGGGGCAGAGCUGCCAGCACUGCGCCGCGGGCUGCACAUCACAGGUGGUGCUGGCGGUAGGCAGUGGCACGAAGGGGUGAGGGCUCAGCAAAACUCAUUGACGUGCACUGAGAAAACUCUUUUUAAAACAAAGUGUUCGUGUUUGUAGCUUUUUUUUUUUCUUUCGAGAAUAGAGAACUCGGCGCCUCUCUGAACAGCUGGAAUUGCCAUAAACAUGCCGACGAAAAUGUGAGGCUUGCGCAGGACUGGUCCCUUCCUGUUGAGCUUUGGAGGUCCUCCCCUGCCCAGCAUCCUUCUCGUCUGCAGGCUGUCCCCUGGGUUGUGUCACUGCACAUUGUGCCCGGCAGACUCCUUGGUGUUGGGUGGUGAGCAGCCAGCACUCCCGGGAGAGGAGCUGGGAAAGCACUUGUGUGCACAGUGUGCUCCAAUGUGGGCAUUAGAUCUCAGCUCCUAGUGUGAAGAACUGAUCUGGCUGUCAAAGAGAAUGGGCUCCUGAGAAGUCCCACUGGCGUCUUCUCCACAGAGGCAUCUCCACUGAUGCCCACCUUUGGCUGUAGGAGUUUCUCUGAGAUGCCCAGGACUUAGAACAUCCGUACCACGCGUCCUCGCUUUCUACUCAUCUCCUCGAGGAAGAUCGAGCACCUCUCCCCACCGCAAGCAAAACCCCAUCAAAGGGAAGGACUCAGUCUUGGCAGGGGGCUGUAAGCCCCUGUUAAUAGCUGAAGGAGUCGGCUCCCUUCCCUUCCCCCAGCUCAGCACAAGGACCUCCUGAAAGGAGACAAAAGAAAGCUUGGAGGGGGUUAAUCUCCCUGAGAAAAACAAGUGAUUUUCCAGUAAACAACUGCAAUAGCAAACAAUGGGGGUGAAAAAUAGCGAUCAUAAAAAAGUCCGCUCUGAGGAAGAGGCGACCCAAUAAGAGAGGUGUCCCUCUGGCUGGGGGGACAAACAAGGCAGCCUUUCGGCGCAGCUCCGGCGGCAGCAGCAAAAUGCACCCCACAAGUUGCCGAGUUGGGUCUACUUGGGCUUGUGCCUUUUGAUCUUUUAAUUGCUUCUUAGUUAUCCUUCAGUGCAAAUAAAUAGUGCAUUGUGUCAAGAAAGAGGAGGGGGGCGGGGAAGGGAAGAAAGAGACACAAAAGAAAGAGCUGUCGCCCAGAAGAGAAAAGGAACAGGUUCUUUCCCCCACCUUUAAAGGAGUGAAUGUAUCUGUAUUUAGGGGGGCGAAGGGGGAGAAGGGGAUGGGAUUAGAAAUCAAAGCGAAAUAGGAGAGAAGCGCAUUAAGCCUCGGGCAUCCUUACAGUAGGAAGAAGAGAGGGAGGUGGUAAAACCCUCAGGGAGUUUAUGCCGUGAGUUAUGAGAGGAUCCACGAGUGUAAUAUUGUUAAAGGUCAGCCCAAACCUAAUUUAAACUAGGGAUGUGUGACCUCCGCCCUUCAUUUAAUACAGUCAUAAGGAACAUUACACUGCAGAUAGCUGGAACAAUAGCUGCCUCCACCCCAAACUCCAGCCCCUGGCAUUGCCUGACAACAGGGCCCGAGUGGGAGGAGGACGAGGAGAGCCGAGGGCAUGGCUGGACCUGCGGCAGAGAGAGGCAGAGAUGGAGAGAGAAGGGCUGGGAGGAGUACAGCUUCCACCCCAGCAUCACAGGAAGCUUCUGGUUCCACCUGAAUCCAUUGGGAUGUCCAGGGGAUGCCCAUCUGCAAAGCCCCCAGUGGCACUGCCCAUUGGAGCCCACCCAAGCAGAUCUGGACAGCCACCUACACAUUGCCAAGGGCCUCAAGUUUUCCAGGGACAGAGGAGAGAACAGGAAAGCUGGGGCCAGGCCAGACCUUGCAGGCAGAGAUGGAAGAGGUCAUUUAAUCCCAGCUCAACCAAGGCACCCAUUGAUGCUCAUUUGGUUUAUUUCCCAAUGAGCAGGAAGGGGAUUUCUUGGCAUUUGAGUUGCACGGUUGACGCUCUGUGCCUGUCGCACUAUGAAGGUCCCCCUAUUUGUAAAGCACCUCACAUUCUCAUUUGUCACCAUUGAGGACAACUGGGAGGAAUCAGACUGUGCUACUGACAUGAGACCACAGGAGGGUGGGGGCAGUUCCUGAGUUGGCAUCUCCUGUCCUUGAAGACUGGCAGAAAAUGUCAUCACAAGACAGAACGGACAGUGAUCAGGAUGAGUCCUAAAUGCAACCAUUUAAUGGCAGAGAAGUGAUCUUAGUUCGCCCAGAGUGUUUUUCAGUGGCUUUGAGAAAGUGAUACCUUUUGUUUAGUACAGCCCAGGAAAUUGGCAAUAACACGGUGUCCUUGUGUGCUGCUAAAAUAUAUUGAUCUCGGGGCAACUGGAACUGUUUGAACGGGAGAGAUUCAUUGGCGACAGGGGAUGUGAUAUAUGUAAGGUCCCUGCAUGAAAUUGAAGUCAAAGAACUCAGAGUGGGAGAAAUAAUUCACCUGGGGCCCAUGUUCAGCAAGGAGCAAACAAGAGUGGAUGCCAAGAGGGUCUGCUUAGGUCUCCUUGUGUCUGCUGCUGGGUUGUUAUAUGGGGAGGGUCAUCUUUUUGCAUGUUCAGGGGGAAAGGGGACUCUUGGAGCAAAUCCUGCCCUGGUCUGCUGAUGCCUCGGGGCACUCGUUGGACUCGAGGGUUGCUGGCAGAUGCACGCUAAGGACCUGGAUGCUGCUGAACACUGCAGAACUGAAGUUCUUCAGAGGUAUAUUAUUGCAUUGUGCCAGAAGAAUUUGUGACAGCAGUUAAAGGCACAGGUGUUUUCACCCCUAUUUAUACGGAGGACAAACUUGCAUUUCUGCAGACUGGACAGACUUGGUAUUCCUGUAGCAUCCUUUAAAACCCAAGGCACUGUUUGCAGCAUGGCCAAAGCCAGGAGGCUGAGGGCUGGGUGCACCAGAGGGUCAGACCGUCUCAGGGAGAGAGGGAUGUGUCUCCUCUCUCCCCACCAUCUGUGGAAGGGAAAGCAUCUCUUGGUCAUCCCCAGCUGCCAAAGUGGACACCUAAAAGGGAUUUCUGAGAAGGGUGGGAUAGGGUAGAUAAGGAAGAAUGCUUCCCCUCUCCUCUGUUUUAUUGUUGUUGGUUUUUUGUUUUAUUUUAUUUUAUUUUAUUUUAUUUUUUGCAGAGGGAGCCUGGAAGGCUCCAAGUUUUGUCUGAUUAUUCAUGUCAAAAAUGUUCAACAAACACAGUAGCAGAAGGAGAAUGGGUCUGUGGGUCUGUGCCUAUAUUAACAGCUAAGCACAUCACAAUUUCCUGUUCCCCCCCCUCCCCCCCCUUUUUUUUAAAGCAUUUCCAUGGAAAGGCUCACAGGAAUGUCAUACAGAGGAAGAAGUCCAAGCUCCUAAAGGACCAAUAAGAGCUCCAGCAGGCACAACUGGUUCUUCCAAGCACCAGGAGAUGAGGUUGGCUCUUCACAGCAUCGUGCAAAUACAGGGCAUUAUGUAUUUCCUUCUGGAGCAAGUCCAUAUGCUGUCCAUGCACUGACUAUGCUUUGGCCCAGCACCUUAGAUCUUCUCCUUGCCCCCCUGAAGCCUUCCAGCUCUGCCACUGCCUCCUGCCCUCCCAACCAGUUCAGCUCACAUAUUUCAGACAUGCUUUAAAGUUGCAUACUUGGAGUGCUCCUUUGCUUCUCCUCAGAAAAUUAGACAAGAGCCAGAGGGAAGUGUCACACUCCAACAGGUUGUUUUCCCAGGUGCCCAGUGCAGGUGGUGGCACUGCGCACAGAUGGUGAUGCAUCGUAGGGAAUAUAUGUGGGGCCCUUAUUGAGUGCGGAGAGGUGGAGUGGUGCAGAUACAUCUCUGUUGUGUAAUUAAUGGCCUUGAAAAAAAAAAAAACCCAGCCUGUUGGCUAAGCCCGAAUACCUCUGAGGGGUUCAGGAAUCCCAGCUAUGUAUCUUUCAGGCAUUUCUUCCUCUGUUUUUUUUUUUCUUUUUUCUUUUUUUUUUUUCCCUCGCAUUGCUGCUGUGCUUCAGUGUGGGUCUUUGUUUGCAGCUCUCAUUGUCUUGGGGCAGAGCAUUGGGUUGGGAGCUUCUCAGGGCCAGGGCUUCCCAUAUUGGGGAUCCCCAUGACCACCUCUGCUUGCCAGCCCCAAAUGGGGUCACCCCAUCACCCUUUCAGGCUUUUUGAUGGGAGAAAUGGAUAGAAGACAUAGUGAAGAUCCCAGAAGAAGGAAGGACAUGGGGCCCCGUGACCCAUGGGCAGGUGGCUGUCGAUAUAGGGAAAACGAGAAGCAUGGCAUCAUGCAUGUUUCACAUAACUCAUGCACAGCCUUCCUUUGCCACAGCUAUGGGCAAGUCACCUGUUUUCCCUGUGUUUUGCAUUCCCAUCCAUCAGUUAGGUGUGAGAAUACAUCUUCUCCCCUUUGCUUUGCUUUCUUAGGGACUGGGACCGACCUUGUUGGAAAUGAGCCUACUGAUGCCUACAGCUGGAAGCAGUUGCAUGGGACUUUGCAGUAGGUAACAUGGGGAUACAUGUCCCAGAACACAUUGCCCAUGCCAGGGGUGACGAACACUCUCACAGGGGAGCAGGAGACGUGCACUGAGCAAGUGAUGCCACUCGGGGUGACUCACUUGCUGUCUCCACGUCUCCUUCUCUUCAUCAGCUGAGGAUAACUCCUACUGGGAUACACCGAUCCUGACGUGCUUCAGCAUCUGGAAGAUCCUAAGAGGAAUGACACAGAGUGAUGGGAAGCACAGGCACGAUCCUGAACAUCUCCAUACCUUCUGUGGGGCAUAAGCCCAGGAGAGAGCUGGGGAAGGUCUAAAGAGGUUUCUAUUCUCUGUGUAUGUUUAUGGUGGGCAGACUCUGAAAAGGGUGGACUUUGCUUGCUUUCAGCAUCAGAGGUGCUAAUCCCAUGUGCCGGCAGCCCGAGUGUGUGUGUGGCCGGUGUGUUCCCAGCCCUCCACGAAGCCCUGAAAUCAAUGGGCAAAGGGUUAACUGAGCUCCCGAGGCAGGUGGGAGCACAGGUCAGGCUGAGUGAUAUCGCAGACAUGUUAUUUGAAAAGCUAAGAAAUUGUGGAAUUCCUCACCUAAUCCAACUUCCACACAGUUUAAAGAAAACUGCAGUGCAAGAUAUGUCUACGUCUGAAGGAGACCCCCCCCCCCUUCCCCACGAGCCUUCCCCUGUGUGCUUUAUAUGUGCAUAUAUGGAGCUCAUGCUGCAAGCCACCCCAUGUCCUGCUGGGCUUCCAGCCACUGGGAUCUGUCUUCUGGAAAAGCCCAUGAGAUGCAGCAGCACCGUGGGGAGCCAGGUCCUCUGCUCCAGCUCAGCAGCCCAAGGAGCUGAGCAGCUGUAUUGCUUUUGUAUUUAAUCAAAGCUGGGUUUAGCUGGAAAAAAAAAAAAAAAAGAAAAAAAAGAAGAUGUGGGGUGUGAGGCUUUAAUCUGGAAAGUUUUACAAAUGGAAAAAGGCAAUGACUAAGAAGACUUCCAGAAAAGUUUAGGCUUUCUUUUUUUUUUUUCUUCUCCCCCACAACAUUUCCUAUCGGUUCUUCAUAAAAAACAUUUUACAGGGUUCUGUUGGAAAAAGUGUUGCUUGCAAAAGGCAGGUGUUGGCAAAGGUGCCGGUCCUCUGCCUGGCAACUGUUGGCCCUCUCCUGACCAUGGUGGCCCUUUUCCAACCUGAACCAUCCCGGCAGCACUGUGGGCUGCAAGAAAAUUAAUGUGUUCUCUCGGGGAGUGGACAGGCAGCCUGAUUGCUGAGGCUUGCUGGAGUGAUGGUGGGACCAUGGUGUGCUCCUGCAUUGGCUCCUGGAAGGCUCUGUGAUGUCUUCAGCUUCUUGGAAUGCAAUCAGUAGCUCAGUGAUACUUUCUGGUUAGAGAAAUGUGCACAAUAAAGGGUGAGAAAGUCAACUGGUUUCCCUCUGGCUCCUGGGUGAGCUCUCUUUGGGAGUGACUGGAGGGUCCCUGGGCAUUUCACACCUUACAUUUCAGAUGUAGGCAGCCCUCAGCCCAUCCUCUUGCUGACAUGUCCCUGCAGGAGCAGAUGUGCUGAAGAGCUGCAGGGAAGUGGCUGGAGGGCUAAAUGUUGCUUAACCUCACAAAGAACCAUUUAAUGCAACAAACCAUUAGAGCUGAGGGUGAUCCAUCCAUCUUUAUGCGGUUCAUCCAUCCCAGUGAGGUUCAUCCAUCCCUCACUAAAAGCAGCAUCAGGAGCAGAGAGAAAUACAUGGCCAGGAUGGAGGAGGAAGGUCCCCAGACCUCUUGGCACCGUGUUAGCUGGAAAAUAGCUAAAACACUCGUACAAAAAAACUUUUGGUGAGGCAAUACAAAGAUCAGUGGAUAUCAAUUGCCUCUUGCAGACCCCAGCUUAAGACAUCCCCAGCUAUGAGAGGUGGCUGCACUGAGCCUCCGUAGGACUGCAAAUAUCUGAACAUGAUUAAUGAUUAGCAAGUGGACUAGAUGAUCUCCAGAGAUCCCAUCCAACCUCCAAGAUUAGGUGCUUCUGUGAUUAUAUUCACGGCAAUUGCAUCCCCGUUGCAAACCUGACUCUCAUUUGAUUUCUUCCAGGUGGGUUUUGUGCUGAGCCUUCCAAUUCUAGCAGGUAGAUCUUGGCGAGCGAGAGGAUUUUGUAUUUUUUUGGCCUGGAAGUGAAUUGUUUGGAAAUUUUUAAGAUUUUUUAUUAUUAUUUUUAGUUUUCAUUAAAAGCAACCAUUUCAAGUAUGUACGGAUCACACGGGUGUUUUGUAGUCAAAACAAUCAUAGUAACUGCAAAGAGGUGCCAGACUGGAACAACCUCUUCUGCAUUAAUCUAAUCAAAAGGAAAGAAGAAAGAAAGAUGCUUUCGAGAGAUAGAUUGAAUUCCAUUGUCUUUGCAUGUUAUAUAAGGAAAGAGAGAAAAAUCUAGCAAGGGAUAGCAGGCAUCCCCUACAAGAGACUUCUAGGGGAGUUGACUUACAAACGUGAGUGUCAUCAUGAGGUGAACAUUUGCCUGAGUCACCGGAGUGUUUCAAGACCUCUCAUCCCAAAUCCUGCUGAGACCCUAUCCCAGGUCCUGCCCCAAACCACACCUGUGUUGGGGAAGGCAGUGUUCCCAGGGGUCCCCCCUGCACCAAUACAAUUAGGGGCACAGACCUGUCUCUGCUGUAUGAUGCCCAUUUUACAGCUGCUUUCUCCCACCCUUUGCUGCCUUGGAGACCCACUAAAAAGAAGGAGCAGCAUCGCUGGGGUAUACAGAGUAGAAGAUGAGUCACUCAAAGCUUUUGCUCCCACUUUUGAGAUGCUCUUCCACACCCAGAUAAGGAGCAAUCUCCCAGGGAAGGGAGGUGGAAUACGUGGGACAGAUUUUAUUUAAACUAAACAACUGGCUUGGGAUGUUGGUGCUUGAUUUUUAAAUGAAGUGAUUCUAAAACUAAGAUUUUCUGGGUGUUACUCUGUCAGAUUCUGGCCUCAGGAGUGAAAACAGCUAAAAGUGGAAAUCUUGAUCUUUAGCAAUUUCUUUGGAGGAUUUGCUCUGGCUUUUCUGAAGAUCAUGGGAAGGAGAGUGUCCAAACCUGGCUAUCCUGGGGAAGGGGGCAGGAGAUGGCAACACUGGGCAGAAGUCAGCUGCUUCAAUGAGGUUUCCUGCAGGAGCUCCAUUAGUGUGAGCAUGAGCAUGGCACAAGCCAUGGUGCCCACAUCUCCACUGGGCUAUCUGAGGAAGAGUUUCUUUGGCCAUCAGACACAGUCGAAGCAAGACUUGCAAGGUAGGAUUUGUUACAUAGAUGCAGCAUUAUAGCCAAGGGAGAGGUGUCACCUCAGAGCUGCCACCACCAUGGAGAUCUGGAAAUCAUCUGGUUCUGCCCCAGUCACCAAUCCCAGCCAUUAGGUGCUCGACACCCAGCCAGUCAGCAGGUGUUAGCACUUGCCAUUCCCAGCUUGCUGUAAACGAGGCAGUCUUGUGUUUUGGAAUUGCCCACACCACGAGUGAGCAGAGUUUCUCCUCUCAGAUCUUAUGUUAAGUGUCUAUAAGCCAGAAAAUCAGGCAUCAUUGGGUCAAGAUACCAUCUAAAAGACAGGAGCAGGGAUCAGCACUGGAUGUAGUUGUGUGAAGCAGAAAGUGUCUUCUGCUGAGAGUGAGCAUAGGUAACAGUAGAAGAGAUUUUCAGUGAUGAAAGGGCCACAGGAUUUCCCACAGCUGCUGCCAGAACAAGCAUUUAAUGCUGUGGUGAGCAAUCAGCUCCCAUUUAAAAGGCUCCAUGCAAGCAAUGCAAGUCUCCUGUGUCAACAGCUGAACCAUCCCACUGGUAGGUGCCUCUUGCUUAUUGAAAGACAUUUCUAUUGCAAUGGGUCUGACUUCAGUUUCUGGCUUCCAUUGUGCCUUUGGCUGCUGUGCACCACAAGGAGCUUUCUCACAUCUGUUUCUUCUGGAGUAUCAUCUCUCCUAGCCUUACUGUUUUUGAUCACAGUGCAGUGAGCUGCCUUACUCCCUGGCAGCAAGGUAGGUUUCAGGCAGGUGAGGUCAUCCCUGAUGCUCCUUUCUGCUUCUUCCCCAGUUCCUUUUCAUCCUUGAUGUACUUUGCAUUGAGCAUGUGGCUCAUUGUUUUUUAUCAGGCUUUGUGAGGGGUGUUAAUCUGCCCAAGGCUGUGCUCAUUUAACUGGAACGUGUGUGGUGUCUGCAGGAAAUGCCCCCAGACGCAGCGUGAUGAGAUUUUCCCUUGCUCUCAGGGCUUUGCUCUGCCAGUGCUUUUGUGACAUAUUUAUCUGAUCCACAUCAGCAUCCCCUCGUGGGCUUGCCCUAGCUCAAUCCCACUGACACCUGGCUUUGUUACAUGGCUCUCUAAUCACUGAUCUGCACGGAAACAAGUUUCCAAAUUGCCCGUUUUUGCUUGAGGAGGUUUCAUUUAAGCACCUGAGGGAUAUGACUGGUUAGGAGAGGAUAGGGCUGAUGUGCAUUUGGGUAACUAAUUAUAUUUCUAUUAUCGUAUGUGAACAGAGAGAUUCCUUCAUUGCUGAGGCGCUUCACUGGAGAAUUACUGAGACCCUUUUCCUAAGCCAGGAGACUGUUACAGAUCCUGCUAGCUGGUAAGUCUUUAAAUUCACUCAAGUCAAAUUAGCUGUGUGUCACUCUAUUUGUCCUAAAUUUGAAUGGAGCUCUGCCUUAAAUACUUGGCAGGUGGGCAUCUGUAAGAGCCCCAACACAGACCUGAAUUAAUAGGGCAGUUUUCACUUGGGGGAUGCUCAUCCACAUACCUGAGAUCUUCAGAGGUUUUCCCAGCAGGUCUGUGCCCUGUUAUCCUGUAGCAGAGCAUCCCCAGCCCAAAUCCAGGCGCAACCUUUAUUUCAGCUCCUAUUGCCCUGAUAAGGGUUUCAGAUGUUUCCCCUGUGCUUCCCAAACUCUCCUGGUCUGAAACACUGAGUGCUCCCUCUGCUGGCUAAAAUAAUAUUUCAUAACCACGCAUCCACACUGAAUAGACGUGGGGAGGGAGCACAGCCUUCCCAGGGUAGGUGCCACCUGUGGGACAUCAAUGCCCCUGUCCUUGCUGGUGGGGCAAGAAGGGCCAACAGCGUCUGACCCAGACUCAUCCUGAACCAAAGUUCCCUGAUAUGGUUUCCAAAUGCAAGGUGUAUAAUCCCAAAUACCUGUAUGAUGGAGAGAUGAAAAAAGCAGGUGGUGCAGCAAGAUGGGCUGGUGGUCGACCUCCCAAAGCCCCAGGACUCUUCUGCUUUGUGUGUGGGCACUGGCCCGCAGUAGUGAGAUGUGGGGAGGUAUUCCAGCUUUGUUUGAAAUGCUAAUAUUUCUAUUCAGGAUAUAUGCCUGUGCUCUGGAAGUCUUUCAGGGUCAGGGUGAGAUGGAAGAUUUUCUUUGGGGAUGGAUGGUUGGUUGUUAUGGGCCUAACCCUAAGCACAUUCAAAAGAGUAUUGCUGGCUCCAAAAUGGAUACCUAACCAGCCCAAAGCACUCCAUAGGCAUGUGCUACACCCAAGGGAAAAUUUCCCUGAAGAUGAUUUCUCAGCACAGCAGAACCUGCAGUUAGUGUGCUGGGAUGUGCCCAUUGGAGAAUGAACCAAAGGGAGCACCUCAGCUUCAGGACGUCUUCUCUUGGUGUUUCACAAAAAAUCCAGAUGUUAUGGUUUGAUGCUGUAGCAGAACUGACAGCUUUUGCUUAUAAUGCUGAAAUUCCUCCCUGCCAGCAUUUUCACUCUGUAGAUAGUGAGAUAGUUGAGUUACCUGAUAUCACAGCAAACAGUGUGAAGCCAUGGCCCCUCCAAGGUGGAAAAUUGGCACAAAAUGCAGUUUUUAUUCUAAGGAGCUUCCUGCAGCUUUUCCUUCUUCACCAGAAAUCCUUCACUGCAAUCUUCCUUCCCAUGGGAAAUGGGGAGGGGGCUGGGAGAGACACAGGCACCCAUGCUGUCCCAAGUCAGAUGCCCAUGUGUUGAGACUUCUUCAGGAGCAUGGAGUUUCAGAAACAUGACUCACAUUGGAGAAAUACUACUUUCAAACAAAGAUCAGAGCAGGAACAGCAGCAAAUGAACUUGUCCUUGCAGGCAUCUCGAGCAAUGACUAGUAGAUGGUCAUGUGUUUCCUGCCUUGGCCAGCAUCACCGCUGGGGUUGACAGACAAUAUGCUCACAGCACUCCAGCCCUCUCCUUGCUGCUCUACUCCAUGGCCUUGAUGCAAAUCAUUGCUCCAACAUGACACACUGAGCUCCAGCAGGAUUUUCUCUGACCUUGCAUUGUCUGGAUUUGUUUGCUCCCUCCAGUAUUUUUGGACGUCCCUGGUGCUGCUUGCCAUGCCCUGUGCCACCCACAUCCACAGGCAGAGGUGCAGGAUCCAGAUGUGAGCUGCCCUAUGCACUGUCCCCUGGCAGCCUGGAGGACUGCAGGGGGAAGGAAAGUCGUGGCAGGGAUCUGGCUUUAGCAGAUUCCCAGCAUUUUUGUGGUGCCCUAUUUUGGUGACAGAGCCACGGGUAAUUGCUGUGCUCUGGACAGAUAUGUGAAACCUUGGGAUCUUUUCCAGAUCAUGAGGACUGCAAAGUCCAACAUGAGAGACAAAUUCCUUGGGUAAGACUCCAGAAACCAAAGCUGUUUUAGGAAGAAACUGGGAUGC
This 13020-nucleotide long non-coding RNA is filed under the name Gallus gallus (chicken). Lineage: Eukaryota; Metazoa; Chordata; Aves; Galliformes; Phasianidae. The record is from RNAcentral.